This 2020-nucleotide long non-coding RNA is filed under the name Homo sapiens (human). Its description in RNAcentral is "HSALNT0133584". Lineage: Eukaryota; Metazoa; Chordata; Mammalia; Primates; Hominidae. The record is from RNAcentral.
AUGAGAUGUCACUGCCAAGGCAGCCGAAUUCACUGCAAGUUUCCAGGAUCAGGUUUCCUUGGAACAGGCUCGCACAUGGCCUCUGUCUUCUAAAGCUGAUUGCUUUGCCAUGGUGUAAAGUGCGUGAAUCUUAACCCGAUGAAUUUUCAUGUGUAUUCAUUGGUGCAGAACUACUUAAAUCAAGAUAUAGAACAUUCCAGCAUCCCAAAGGCUCUGUCACAUCUCUUCCCCGUUACUGUUCCCUGUCCUUGAACUUUGAAGCAAUUACUGUUAUACUAUUCUAAAUUUCAUCACCAUCAUUUUGCCUGUAUUUGAACUUUACACACACACACACACACACACCCACACACACACGCACGCACACACACGAGUAGGUACUUUUGUGCCUGGCCUCUUUUGCUAAACAUUUUUCAGUGAGAUUCACACAUUUUCUAACAUGCAACAAUUGUUUGUUUCUUCCUGUUGCUUGUAGUAGAAUCCAUUGUAUGAAUAUACCCGAACUCAUUUACCAAUUCUACUAUUGUUGAGCUUUUGGGCUGUUUUCAGGUUUGGUUUAUGAUGAAUAUAGUUGCGAUGAACAUUCUUGGAACAUUCUUGCAUAUUCCUUUUGGUGGACGAAAGCAUUUGCUUCUCUUCUAUAUGUACCUUGUGUGAGGUAUACAGAUGUUUAGCUUUAGUUUAAUCCUGCAAAACUAUUUUUCAAAGUUAUCUUUCCAACUUAUACCCCCACCAGCAACGUAUGAGACUUCUAGUCGCUCCACAUUGUUUCCAACAGUGUGUAUUUUCAGGCUUUUUGUUUUGUUUUGUUUUGUUUUUAACUCAUCAUCUUGAUGGGUACAUCAUGGCAUCUCAAUAAUAGGCAUUUCCCUGAUAACUAAGAGACUGAGCACUUUUUCAUAUACUCAUUCCAUUACGCCCAUUGGGUAACUUCUUUUGGGAAGGAUCUAUUCGAGUCUUUUGGCCCAUCUUAAAAUUCAGUUGUUUGUCUUUUUCUAAGGGUUUGUAGGUUUCCUUUAUAUACGGAUAUAAGCUCUGCAAAUAUAUUCUCCGUGGCUGUGGCUUGCCUUCUCAUUCUCUUUUGAUGGGUAGUUCUUGCGUAUUUAUUAGUUUUGUUUUUGUGGUUAGUGUUUUUAAACAGCAGUUUAAGAAAUCUUUACCUAAGCAUAGAAGAGGACGAAUUAAGUACAAGACACAUGAAGGCUUAUCCUAUCAUUCUGAAGUUAUACUGCUUGAUAGACUUGUCUGACAUUCUUGAUAAUUAGUUUCAUGUCUAUACUAAGCAAACAUUCUUAACCAUACUAUAUUAUUUAGAUGAAAAUAUUUCUUCCUCCCUAUAUAUUAUUUGUAUAAGAAAAACAUAUUAAAAAUUACUUGGUUAUGGCCAAGAGCAAUGGCUCAUGCCUGUAAUCCCACCACUUUGAGAGGCCAAGGUGGGCAGAUCACCUGAGGUCAGGAGUUCGAGACCAACUUGACCAACAUGGUGAAACCCCAUCUGUCUGUACUAAAAAAUACAAAAAUUAGCCAGGUGUCAUGGCGGGCACCAGUAAUUCCAGCUGCUCAGGAGGCUGAGGCAUGAGAAUCUCUUGCUCUGGAUGCGGAGGUUGCAGUGAGCUGAGAUUGUGCCACUGCACGCCACCCUGAAUGACAGAGUGAGACUUUCUCUAAAAAAAAAAAAAAAAGAAAAAGAAAAAAUAUUACUGGGUUAUGUGGGGAGAGGGGGUGAAUAGGCAGAGCCCAAGGAUUUUUAGGGCAGUGAAAUUAUUCUGUAUACUACAAUGGAGGAUAUAUGUCACUAUGCAUUUGUCAAAACUUAUACAAUAUACCAUAUCGAGAGUGAAUCCUAAAUAUGGGCUUUGGGUGAUAAUGAUGUGUCAACAUAGAUUCAUUGAUUGUUAACAAAUGUACCACUUGAGGGUGGAAUGUUGAUUAUGGGAGAGAUUAUGUACGCGUGAAGGUGGGAGACAUAUCGUAACUCUCUGUACUUUCUGCUUAAUUUUGUUGUAAACUUAAAACUGCCCUA